GUCUACGGCCAUGCUACCCUGAACAAGCCUGAUCCCAUCUGAUCUCAGAAGCUAAGCAGGGUCGGGCCCGGUUAGUACUUGGAUGAGAGACCACCUAAGAAGAUCAGGUGCUGUAGGAG
This 119-nucleotide ribosomal RNA is filed under the name Pteropus alecto (black flying fox). Lineage: Eukaryota; Metazoa; Chordata; Mammalia; Chiroptera; Pteropodidae. The record is from RNAcentral.